This 328-nucleotide ribosomal RNA is filed under the name uncultured Bacteroidota bacterium. Its description in RNAcentral is "bacterial SSU rRNA". It matches the Rfam family "Bacterial small subunit ribosomal RNA", at positions 28 to 351 of the family's 1533-position model. The record is from RNAcentral. Lineage: Bacteria; Pseudomonadati; Bacteroidota.
GAUGAACGCUAGCGGGAGGCUUAACACAUGCAAGUCGUGGGGCAGCAUAAUGUAGCAAUACGUUGAUGGCGACCGGCAGACGGGUGAGUAACGCGUAUGUAACCUACCCUGUACAGGGGGAUAACCCGGAGAAAUUCGGACUAAUAUCCCAUAGAAAUAUUGGAAGGCAUCUUUUGAUAUUUAAAGUUCCGGCGGUACGGGAUGGGCAUGCGUAACAUUAGCUAGUUGGUAAGGUAACGGCUUACCAAGGCUUUGAUGUUUAGGGGUCCUGAGAGGGUGAUCCCCCACACUGGUACUGAGACACGGACCAGACUCCUACGGGUGGCUG